This 453-nucleotide ribosomal RNA is filed under the name Segatella oris. Its description in RNAcentral is "bacterial SSU rRNA". It matches the Rfam family "Bacterial small subunit ribosomal RNA", at positions 28 to 470 of the family's 1533-position model. Lineage: Bacteria; Pseudomonadati; Bacteroidota; Bacteroidia; Bacteroidales; Prevotellaceae. The record is from RNAcentral.
GAUGAACGCUGGCUACAGGCUUAACACAUGCAAGUCGAGGGGAAACGACAGGGAAGCUUGCUUCCUUGGGCGUCGACCGGCGCACGGGUGAGUAACGCGUAUCCAACCUGCCUCUGACUGAGGGAUAACCCGUCGAAAGUCGGCCUAAUACCUCAUGGCAUCGUCUGCGGGCAUCCAACGACGAUUAAAGAUUUCAUCGGUCAGGGAUGGGGAUGCGUCUGAUUAGCUUGUUGGCGGGGUAACGGCCCACCAAGGCUACGAUCAGUAGGGGUUCUGAGAGGAAGGUCCCCCACAUUGGAACUGAGACACGGUCCAAACUCCUACGGGAGGCAGCAGUGAGGAAUAUUGGUCAAUGGGCGAGAGCCUGAACCAGCCAAGUAGCGUGCAGGAUGACGGCCCUAUGGGUUGUAAACUGCUUUUAUGCGGGGAUAAAGUGAGGGACGUGUCCUUCAU